Long non-coding RNA from Mustela lutreola (European mink), 690 nucleotides. RefSeq lists it as uncharacterized. The record is from RefSeq and is a predicted model, not a curated record. The transcript has 3 exons. Lineage: Eukaryota; Metazoa; Chordata; Mammalia; Carnivora; Mustelidae.
GAGCAGAGGUUAGAGGGCCUGCAAAAGCCCAGAAGUAGGAAAAGGCAUGGGACAACGAAGGACCCGAGAAGUGGGCAGCAUGACUGGAGUGUGUGGUGAAUGACAGAAGCCUUCCAGCCUAUUGCCUCUCUGCCUCCCCCUUCGCGAGUAUAACGUGUUUGCAGGACAGACUGGGUCGUGGGCUCCAGCUCUUCUCCGAAGAGAAGCUUUGCCAUUUGUCUGACAACUAACUGUGCCUGGUGCUGUGCUGGGGUAUCCGCACCCCUUACUAGAGUGGCCCAGAGGAGUUCGAAAGCCUCCUUCCUCAAAUGAGGCCCGGCCUCAGCAGCAGCGGUAUUGCCUGGGGUCUUGUUAGAAACGCAGAAUCCCAGCCCUGGCCUGAACCUACUGAAACAGAAGCUGCAUUUUCAACUGCAUGCCCCCAGGUGAUUUGGAUGUGCCUUCGUUGGAGAAGCACUGAUCUAAAGGGUAACUGGUCGGAGAUCACAUCUCAGCCCCAUCAUUCACAGGCAAAGAGACACAGCAAGAGAGAGAACACAAGCAGGGCAAGUGGGAGAGAAGAAGCAGAUUCCCUGCUGAGCAAAGAGCCCGAUGUGGGGCUCCAUUCCAGGAUCCUGGGAACACAACCUGAGCCGAAGGCAAAUGCUUAACGACUGAGCCACCCAGGAACCCCAUUGCUGAAUUCUUGAC